This 313-nucleotide ribosomal RNA is filed under the name Bacillus sp. mrc49. RNAcentral's name for it is "bacterial LSU rRNA". It matches the Rfam family "Bacterial large subunit ribosomal RNA", at positions 687 to 997 of the family's 2925-position model. The record is from RNAcentral. Lineage: Bacteria; Bacillati; Bacillota; Bacilli; Caryophanales; Bacillaceae.
AUAGGGCGAAUGAGUAUGAGGUCGUAGACCCGAAACCAGGUGAUCUACCCAUGUCCAGGGUGAAGUUCAGGUAACACUGAAUGGAGGCCCGAACCCACGCACGUUGAAAAGUGCGGGGAUGAGGGGUGGGUAGCGGAGAAAUUCCAAUCGAACCUGGAGAUAGCUGGUUCUCUCCGAAAUAGCUUUAGGGCUAGCCUCAAGAUGAGAGUAUUGGAGGUAGAGCACUGAUUGGACUAGGGGCCCCCAACGGGUUACCGAAUUCAGUCAAACUCCGAAUGCCAAAUACUUAUUCUUGGGAGUCAGACUGCGAGUG